CAGUGAUGUGUUCCUCUUCGAAAAAGACAGUGCCAUCAUCGUUUUCUAUCACGGAGAACCGGUUAAGGGCUCUUCUUCCUCUUGUGGUUGCGUGGAAGUAAGAUGAGUUUCGAUCUCCAAGAGCUAGCCAAAGUUGACGGCUUCUUUGUCUCCAAUAAUUCUCCUCUGCCUCAUAAGUUUCUCUCAGAGAUUGUGAGAGUGUCUGUAUAAGAGCUAGAUCCGGGGUUGUGUCUGUCAAGGCCUGAUCCAGUUUUUCCUUUUUCUCCUCUAUCGUCUUUUGGUUGUUCUG
Molecule: long non-coding RNA, 289 nt
Filed under: Arabidopsis lyrata
Lineage: Eukaryota; Viridiplantae; Streptophyta; Magnoliopsida; Brassicales; Brassicaceae
Description: long non-coding RNA (ALYR_LNC000004)
Source: RNAcentral